AACCCUUUUAAAGAUAGUCCAGAGAGGCUACAAAGGGGAGCAUGAAGAAUCAAGCCAUCCAUAUGGCUUGGUAUCCUUCUUGAACCUCUUUGUCCUCAUGCAAAGAGGUUUUUUAUU
This is a regulatory RNA element of 117 nucleotides. It matches the Rfam family "PyrR binding site". Rfam says of the family: This family represents the PyrR binding site and terminator structure. This RNA structure is found upstream of a variety of genes involved in pyrimidine biosynthesis and transport. The record is from Rfam.